Molecule: long non-coding RNA, 1457 nt
Filed under: Cricetulus griseus (Chinese hamster)
Lineage: Eukaryota; Metazoa; Chordata; Mammalia; Rodentia; Cricetidae
Description: lncRNA (ENSCGRG00015042365.1)
Source: RNAcentral
CGGGCUCCGUCUGUUUUUCUUCGCUUUUCUCCUCCUCCUCCUCCUCUUUCUCCUCCUCUCCUCGCUCCUUUUCGUUUUCUUCCUCCUCCCCUUCCCACUGCCCCUCCUGCUUCUCUUCUCCGUCCUCCUCCUCCACCACCUCCUUUUUCGUGUCUUUUUUUUUUCUUUCAAAGGGGGCCUCGGCGUGGCGGCCGCUCCCCCUGCGCGCCCGGGCGCGCGGCCCCCUCCCCAGGCUGCCGGGCCGCUGCCUGCAGGAAUUUACAAUCCGGCGCUGGGGGAGCGGGCCCGGUCUCCAUGGAGACGGCUUCCCCGGGAGCAGGGAGGUCAGGCGCAGACCGCGCACAAUCAAUGGAUCAAUGCAAGCCCCUGCUCCGCUCCAGACCAAACAGCACCGGGGCUCCGGCUGGUCCGCUCUCCCCGUGGGGAGCUAGCGGGGGAGUCGAGGGUGCGCCCCCCCACCCCGCCGCGCGCGCUCGCACGCCAGGAGGGCCGAGCGGAGCAGCUUUCUCAAAGGCGAAACCAAUCCAGUGACAAUCUAUCACUUGACUGGUAAUAGAGUCUGCUGGAGAGCAGGUAGAAGCCAGAGGGACUGUCACCACCAUCGCCAAGCUCUAUCUCACCUAUCUAUCUCACCUGGAGAGUUAAUCGCCUCUUGGAAUCUCAGCUGACCAGUGACAGUGCCUCUCAAGACAAGGCAUACAUGGGCCCCUGAUGCCCUGAGCUGUGGACUUAAAUGACUGCAAAGGUCAAAUCUCAGCCCAGUUGCUUAGUGUGUGUGUGUGUAUACAUGUGGCCAGAGGUCAACAUCCAGUGUCUUCUUAUUAACCUUAUUUUAUAUUUUAUUUACCUCUUUUGUUUUUCAAGACAGGGUUUCUCUGUGUAGCCCUGGCUGUCCUGGAACUCUCUCUAUAGACCAGGCUGGCCUCAAACUCACAGAGAUCCGCCUGCCUCUGCAAUGCUGCUUCCCAAGGCGUGCGCCACCACCGCCACCAGGCUCCACCUUAUUUUUUGAGCCAGAGUCUCACUGAAUCUGGAGCUCACCUACUACCAGCGGGUCUCAGGGACCCUCCUGCCUCUGCAGAGCCGGGCUGUGGGUGUGGGCUGCAGCACCUGGCCCCUCACAUGGUUUCUGUAGAAGACCCAGGUCCUCAGUUGACGAAGCAAGCCUAGACCAUCUGAGCUGUCCCCUCAGCUCUCAACCCUGGCAUCUGCGUCUUAGCUACCUGUAUGACUUCCGAUCAGCUAUGUUUGCUCCUCUGACCUCACAGGUUCAUAGCAUUAGUUCAGUGCAAUGAUGUGUAGAAAACACCGGCACGGAGCACAUGCUAGAUGGACGCCAUGGCUGCUCCUUUCACUUCUUGGCAGGAACAAAGGGCUACGGUGUUGGAUGGGUAUAGGGCAUAGCCAGGCCUGGGACAAAGCAGCCUUGGGUCAGGCCAGGCUCUGGGGCUUGGGGU